RNAcentral lists this transfer RNA (61 nucleotides) under Sphaerotheriidae sp. HYS-2012. Its description in RNAcentral is "tRNA-Arg". Lineage: Eukaryota; Metazoa; Arthropoda; Diplopoda; Sphaerotheriida; Sphaerotheriidae. The record is from RNAcentral.
AAAUGAAAAGUAAAUUUUACAUUUAGUUUCGACCUAAAAAUUUGACAUUAGUCUUCAUUUU